UUGUUUUGGCAUCACACACUAAAAUAUUGUAACCAAACAGAGAUUAGCAUGGUCCCUGUGAAAAGUUGGCACGUAACUUUAUGGAGCAUUCCAUUAUUUA
Molecule: small nuclear RNA, 100 nt
Organism: Cricetulus griseus (Chinese hamster)
Lineage: Eukaryota; Metazoa; Chordata; Mammalia; Rodentia; Cricetidae
Source: Ensembl